UCAGGACGUCGCAGUGGCCC
Molecule: unclassified non-coding RNA, 20 nt
Filed under: Chlamydomonas reinhardtii
Lineage: Eukaryota; Viridiplantae; Chlorophyta; Chlorophyceae; Chlamydomonadales; Chlamydomonadaceae
Description: small RNA Cre_2500
Source: RNAcentral